This 484-nucleotide ribosomal RNA is filed under the name uncultured bacterium. RNAcentral's name for it is "partial 16S ribosomal RNA". It matches the Rfam family "Bacterial small subunit ribosomal RNA", at positions 30 to 507 of the family's 1533-position model. The record is from RNAcentral.
AUUGAACGCUGGCGGCAGGCCUAACACAUGCAAGUCGAGCGGAUGAAGGGAGCUUGCUCCUGGAUUCAGCGGCGGACGGGUGAGUAAUGCCUAGGAAUCUGCCUGGUAGUGGGGGAUAACGUCCGUAAACGGGCGCUAAUACCGCAUACGUCCUGAUGUAGAAAGUGGGGGAUCUUCGGACCUCACGCUAUCAGCUGAGCCUAGGUCGGAUUAGCUAGUUGGUGGGGUAAAGGCCUACCAAGGCGACGAUCCGUAACUGGUCUGAGAGGAUGAUCAGUCACACUGGAACUGAGACACGGUCCAGACUCCUACGGGAGGCAGCAGUGGGGAAUAUUGGACAAUGGGCGAAAGCCUGAUCCAGCAAUGCCGCGUGUGUGAAGAAGGUCUUCGGAUUGUAAAGCACUUUAAGUUGGGAGGAAGGGCAGUAAGUUAAUACCUUGCUGUUUUGACGUUACCAACAGAAUAAGCACCGGCUAACUUCGUG